This 1228-nucleotide ribosomal RNA is filed under the name uncultured bacterium. RNAcentral describes it as "bacterial SSU rRNA". It matches the Rfam family "Bacterial small subunit ribosomal RNA", at positions 145 to 1399 of the family's 1533-position model. The record is from RNAcentral.
AGCCGUGUGAAACUGGGAUUACUACCUGAUACUAUCUAAAGAUUAAAGCAGCAAUGCGCUUGGGGAUGGGCUCGCGGCCUAUUAGUUAGUUGGUGAGGUAACGGCUCACCAAGGCGAUGACGGGUAGCCGGUCUGAGAGGAUGUCCGGCCACACUGGAACUGAGACACGGUCCAGACACCUACGGGUGGCAGCAGUCGAGAAUCAUUCACAAUGGGGGAAACCCUGAUGGUGCGACGCCGCGUGGGGGAAUGAAGGUCUUCGGAUUGUAAACCCCUGUCAUGUGGGAGCAAAUUAAAAAGAUAGUACCACAAGAGGAAGAGACGGCUAACUCUGUGCCAGCAGCCGCGGUAAUACAGAGGUCUCAAGCGUUGUUCGGAAUCACUGGGCGUAAAGCGUGCGUAGGCUGUUUCGUAAGUCGUGUGUGAAAGGCGCGGGCUCAACCCGCGGACGGCACAUGAUACUGCGAGACUAGAGUAAUGGAGGGGGAACCGGAAUUCUCGGUGUAGCAGUGAAAUGCGUAGAUAUCGAGAGGAACACUCGUGGCGAAGGCGGGUUCCUGGACAUUAACUGACGCUGAGGCACGAAGGCCAGGGGAGCGAAAGGGAUUAGAUACCCCUGUAGUCCUGGCAGUAAACGGUGCACGCUUGGUGUGCGGGGAAUCGACCCCCUGCGUGCCGGAGCUAACGCGUUAAGCGUGCCGCCUGGGGAGUACGGUCGCAAGAUUAAAACUCAAAGAAAUUGACGGGGACCCGCACAAGCGGUGGAGUAUGUGGCUUAAUUCGAUGCAACGCGAAGAACCUUACCUGGGCUUGACAUGUAAUGAACAACAUGUGAAAGCAUGCGACUCUUCGGAGGCGUUACACAGGUGCUGCAUGGCCGUCGUCAGCUCGUGUCGUGAGAUGUUUGGUUAAGUCCAGCAACGAGCGCAACCCCUGUUGCCAGUUACCAGCACGUGAAGGUGGGGACUCUGGCGAGACUGCCCAGAUCAACUGGGAGGAAGGUGGGGACGACGUCAGGUCAGUAUGGCCCUUAUGCCCAGGGCUGCACACGUACUACAAUGCCCAGUACAGAGGGGGCCGAAGCCGCGAGGCGGAGGAAAUCCUAAAAACUGGGCCCAGUUCGGACUGUAGGCUGCAACCCGCCUACACGAAGCCGGAAUCGCUAGUAAUGGCGCAUCAGCUACGGCGCCGUGAAUACGUUCCCGGGUCUUGCACACACCGCCCGUCA